RNAcentral lists this ribosomal RNA (468 nucleotides) under uncultured bacterium. RNAcentral's name for it is "partial 16S ribosomal RNA". It matches the Rfam family "Bacterial small subunit ribosomal RNA", at positions 28 to 507 of the family's 1533-position model. The record is from RNAcentral.
GACGAACGCUGGCGGCGUGCUUAACACAUGCAAGUCGAACGGAAAGGCCCUGCUUUUGUGGGGUGCUCGAGUGGCGAACGGGUGAGUAACACGUGAGUAACCUGCCCUGGACUUUGGGAUAACUUCAGGAAACUGGGGCUAAUACCGGAUAGGAGCUCCUGCUGCAUGGUGGGGGUUGGAAAGUUUAGGCGGUUGGGGAUGGACUCGCGGCUUAUCAGCUUGUUGGUGGGGUAGUGGCUUACCAAGGCUUUGACGGGUAGCCGGCCCGAGAGGGUGACCGGCGACAUUGGGACUGAGGUACGGCCCAGACUCCAACGGGAGGCAGCAGUGGAGAGUAUUGCACAAUGGGCGGAAGCCUGAUGCAGCGACGCCGCGUGCGGGAUGACCGCCUUCGGGUUGUAAACCGCUUUCGCCUGUGACGAAGCGUGAGUGACGGUAAUGGGUAAAGAAGCACCGGCUAACUACGUG